GAUGAACGCUGGCGGCGUGCUUAACACAUGCAAGUCGAACGAAGCACUUUAUUUGAUUUCCUUCGGGACUGAUUAUUUUGUGACUGAGUGGCGGACGGGUGAGUAACGCGUGGGUAACCUGCCUUGUACAGGGGGAUAACAGUUGGAAACGGCUGCUAAUACCGCAUAAGCGCACAGCAUCGCAUGAUGCAGUGUGAAAAACUCCGGUGGUAUAAGAUGGACCCGCGUUGGAUUAGCUAGUUGGUGAGGUAACGGCCCACCAAGGCGACGAUCCAUAGCCGACCUGAGAGAGUGACCGGCCACAUUGGGACUGAGACACGGCCCAAACUCCUACGGGAGGCAGGAGUGGGGAAUAUUGCACAAUGGGCGAAGGCCUGAUGCAGCGACGCCGCGUGAGCGAAGAAGUAUUUCGGUAUAUAAAGCUCUAUAAGCAGGGAAGAUAAUGACGGUACCUGACGAAGAAGCACCGGCUAAAUACGUG
Molecule: ribosomal RNA, 481 nt
Filed under: uncultured bacterium
Lineage: Bacteria
Description: partial 16S ribosomal RNA
Rfam family: Bacterial small subunit ribosomal RNA
Source: RNAcentral